AACGAACGCUGGCGGCAGGCCUAACACAUGCAAGUCGAGCGAGUCCUGCGGGCCUGCUCCCGCACGGAUCCGCAACCCGUGGGGACCUGCCCUUAGGUCUGGCUUGACUCGCCGAAUGGCGUCCUGAUACGGGCUCAUAUCCCCCAUCCAACGUUUUAGCGCCGUUGGGUGGGCUCGCGUUGGCUUAGCAAGUUAGUAGGGUAAAAGCCUCCCAAGGCGACGUUCCAUAGCUGGUCUGAGAGGAUGAUCAGCCACACUGGGACUGAGACACGGCCCAGACUCCUACGGGAGGCAGCAGUGGGGAAUAUUGGACAAUGGGCGAAAGCCUGAUCCAGCAAUGCCGCGUGAGUGAUGAAGGCCUUAGGGUUGUAAAGCUCUUUUACCCGGGAUGAUAAUGACAGUACCGGGAGAAUAAGCUCCGGCUAACUCCGUG
RNAcentral lists this ribosomal RNA (433 nucleotides) under uncultured bacterium. Its description in RNAcentral is "partial 16S ribosomal RNA". It matches the Rfam family "Bacterial small subunit ribosomal RNA", at positions 29 to 507 of the family's 1533-position model. The record is from RNAcentral.